GUGGUUGUGGUUCAGUGGUAGAGUACCUGCUUAGCAUGCACGAGGUCCUAGGUUCAAUCCCCAGUACCCCCA
Molecule: transfer RNA, 72 nt
Filed under: Camelus bactrianus (Bactrian camel)
Lineage: Eukaryota; Metazoa; Chordata; Mammalia; Artiodactyla; Camelidae
Also listed under: 2 other names
Rfam family: tRNA
About the family: Transfer RNA (tRNA) molecules are approximately 80 nucleotides in length. Their secondary structure includes four short double-helical elements and three loops (D, anti-codon, and T loops). Further hydrogen bonds mediate the characteristic L-shaped molecular structure. tRNAs have two regions of fundamental functional importance: the anti-codon, which is responsible for specific mRNA codon recognition, and the 3' end, to which the tRNAs corresponding amino acid is attached (by aminoacyl-tRNA synthetases). tRNAs cope with the degeneracy of the genetic code in two manners: having more than one tRNA (with a specific anti-codon) for a particular amino acid; and 'wobble' base-pairing, i.e. permitting non-standard base-pairing at the 3rd anti-codon position.
Source: Rfam by way of RNAcentral